Molecule: ribosomal RNA, 273 nt
Filed under: uncultured bacterium
Lineage: Bacteria
Description: partial 16S ribosomal RNA
Rfam family: Bacterial small subunit ribosomal RNA
Source: RNAcentral
UACGAAGGGGGCUAGCGUUGUUCGGAAUUACUGGGCGUAAAGGGCGCGUAGGCGGCUUCGAUAGUCGGGCGUGAAAUGCCUGGGCUCAACCCGGGAACUGCGUUCGAAACUUCGAGGCUAGAGUGUGGGAGAGGUUGGUGGAAUUCCCAGUGUAGAGGUGAAAUUCGUAGAUAUUGGGAAGAACACCGGUGGCGAAGGCGGCCAACUGGACCACAACUGACGCUGAGGCGCGAAAGCGUGGGGAGCAAACAGGAUUAGAUACCCCUGUAGUCC